UAAAGUGGCCUCAGCGUGGGCAGAGCAGCAGAGAGGAGCCAGUUACUCAGAGGGCAGAUGCUCCAUGGAAGCCUCCAGCACAAGCAGUCAACCCCUAAAGCCUCCAACAGGAAUGCCGUUCUGGAAUUACAGUAAGGAAACUAUGCAACGUGCAGACAAAGCUAUGUGCAUGAGGAUAUUCAUCACAACAUUUUAAAGGACAAGACUGGGAACAACCGAUGUCUAACAGGGAAUGGUUCAAUCCACAAUGGGGCUUCUCUCUUAAAUACCUUACUGCUGUUUAAAAUAAAGUUUAUAAAGAGUUUGAGUGAUAUGGGGACAUGCUUAGGCUGUAAUGUUAAGGAAAUAAAAUGGGCUUAAGAAUAAAAAUACACAUUAUAAUAAUAGCUAUGUUGGUGUGCUGAGGAAGAAAAAUUUA
Molecule: long non-coding RNA, 418 nt
Organism: Myotis myotis
Lineage: Eukaryota; Metazoa; Chordata; Mammalia; Chiroptera; Vespertilionidae
Exons: 2
Source: RefSeq, a predicted model, not a curated record